Molecule: ribosomal RNA, 462 nt
Filed under: uncultured bacterium
Lineage: Bacteria
Description: partial 16S ribosomal RNA
Rfam family: Bacterial small subunit ribosomal RNA
Source: RNAcentral
GACGAACGCUGGCGGCGUGCUUAACACAUGCAAGUCGAACGGAAAGGCCCUUCGGGGUACUCGAGUGGCGAACGGGUGAGUAACACGUGGGUGAUCUGCCCUGCACUUUGGGAUAAGCCUGGGAAACUGGGUCUAAUACCGAAUAGGACCACGCGCUUCAUGGUGUGUGGUGGAAAGCUUUUGCGGUGUGGGAUGGGCCCGCGGCCUAUCAGCUUGUUGGUGGGGUAUUGGCCUACCAAGGCGACGACGGGUAGCCGGCCUGAGAGGGUGACCGGCCACAAUGGGACUGAGAUACGGCCCAGACUCCUACGGGAGGCAGCAGUGGGGAAUAUUGCACAAUGGGCGGAAGCCUGAUGCAGCGACGCCGCGUGAGGGAUGACGGCCUUCGGGUUGUAAACCUCUUUCAAUAGGGACGAAGCGCAAGUGACGGUACCUAUAGAAGAAGCACCGGCCAACUACGUG